Non-coding RNA from Lactuca sativa (garden lettuce), 3611 nucleotides. The record is from RefSeq and is a predicted model, not a curated record. Lineage: Eukaryota; Viridiplantae; Streptophyta; Magnoliopsida; Asterales; Asteraceae.
CUCUCCUCCUUCUUCUUCGUAUUGUGAAAUCCUCUUCGAUCAUAAGAAACCCUAAAAGCAUUGUGUGGGUUCCUGAUAUGCGAUUUUUAGUAAAUCGAUGAUUGUCGUCCGCUCACAGGGCCAAGAAAUUGAAAUCAAAGGGUUAGGGUUGGUUCGUCUCCAUCUCUCGUUCACUUCCAUUUCUACUUUCUCUUCCAUCUACAAUCUCACUUCCAUAACCCACUAAAAAUGUCUCUUCGAAUACUAGUUAGUAGUGGGAAAACCCUAGGUCCAUUCUGACGAUUACGCUUCGCAUACGAUUAUGGCGCCGCCACAGGAGGAUUUCUGCAGAUACGGUAUGGUUUCCGCCCUGCCGUUCGAUCUGCUCUUUUUGGUGGUGUUCUGUUAGCCAUUAUUGAAUGGUCUUGGAGCAUGCUUAGUAUGUUUAUGAGCACUCAACUGCAGAUUCCUGUGCUGAUCGAAGAGGCGCCACAAUCAGCUCCAAAUAUGAGUCCAUGAUUUGAUUUUCCUAAUCGCGCCUCGCAACCUGAGAUAACGCCUUUAUAUUGGUAUGGUCGCCUAUUUCUGAAUUACGCUGUUUCUAAAUCUUCUAAUUCUUCUAAACACAAUUGAUGCUUUAUUUCUCUACACUACUGCUUGUGAUUUUUGGUUGCUCUGUUACUACAUAAGACAGCAACCUGGUAAUCUUUGAAUGAUAAAUCACUGCCUGUUUAGGGAUAGUUUUUGGUGAACACCAACUGUUUGAUAAAAUGCCCCAAUGAGCGACUCUUGUGUUUGCAUGCUAUAUUAUAUAUUUAGAGCAAGGAACUACACAUGUUUUCAUUAAACCUGAGAUAAAAUGAAUUAUUCUUAUCUGUGAAAACACACACAUACCUGUAUAUGUUGUAUAUAAUUAUAUAAAAAGCAUUGUAGCUUAAAGAGACAAUUUCUUGAAAAUCUUUGUUUGGUUCACACAGUAUUGUUUAUUGUUGAUACAUGUUUGGGUAUGAUUACCUUGGUGGCUAUGAGCAUGAUAUGGGUGGCAGGCCUGGCUAUCCUGAUGAUAGGCCCCGUGGUAGGUAUGGUGGGCGCUCAUCUGGUGGGUACCAAGGUGGUCCAUCAGGUAAGCACCAGUUGAUCAUCAAAUAUAAUUGCUCAACAAAACAUGUAGUUUGUUUUUGGGGAGAGGCUAAGUUAGAUGACAACAUUUAAGUUAAAUACAUAAGUAUUAUACAUAACGUUUCCCUAAACUAAAAUAAUACAUUCUGACUCUGUCUGAAGGCAUAGAAACACUAGAAUGGGACAUAUACUUGUUGGAGACUUCUUUUUCUGUAGGUAUCAAGAAUACAAAUCAGAAUAUAUAUCAACUCUGAAUAUCCAACACAGGGGCCACUGGCUCAACAUACUACUGUUCACAGUCAAACUCUUCCCUCAACAGUUCCGUCUAAUCAGCAAUAACUUUCAUCACUCGGGUAGUUGGAAUACUAAGAAGCUUGAAACAAUCUUUAGCAAUUAAAACUUUAUUAGGCUGCACAAGUUUUUCAUUAGUUUCAUGCCCACUCAUAUAGGGGAAAUGAAAAAAAUUAUGGCUUGUAUAUUGUUCUGUUGUUAUUUCUUCUCUAUUGGAUGGUUAGAGUGGAAUGGAUAAAGAGCAAGCCAAGAAUCAUAUAUUGAGUUGUCAGAUGAUUACUAAUACAUGUUAAGUGAAGAGAAAACUUUACCUAAAGGGAAUCCACUCUUUCUUAACACAACACUCCAGAAUGAGAAUAUCAUUAUAAAGGUUUUUUUCAUAUCUAUUUUCAUUAACAUAUAAACAUUCAUAGAUUUGGAACUAAGGAAGAUGAAAUCAGUGAAAAAGUUGUGGCUAAUUCCGUUGACACUAAGGAAGAUGUAACCAAUAAAGAUGCAUUGAACAACACUUUAGAACUAGAGAAACAAAGUGAAAAAAAUGAGCUUGAUCCUGUUGAAAGUAAGGAAGAUGUAACAAAUGGACACAAAGAAAGCCUUCCCAAUCAGCCAGACGUGGGAAAGAUGGGAUAUGGUUGGAAGGAUUCAUGGGUAAGGAAACCAAUGGUUUAAUGAGGUCCCACAGUGUAGAUCAUGAAUUAAGUAAGUCCUACAAAUGUGAUUUGAUGAAAUUAAAGGCGUGUAGUUGGGGUAGAUGAGCAGUGGCAGCUGCUGCUAGGUUCUCCUAAAUGAGGUUGAUGGCAAGAAGCUUAAAAUUUGUAAGUUCUAUUGCUAUAAAAUAUCAUCUGUCAUUUGUAAAUGUUUACAGAUGAUAUUCUGUUAAAAGGUUUUGAUGCAUGUUUUGGUAUUAUUCAAACGGAUCCAAAAGCUAUGUAAGUUUUUUUUAUUGGUAUUAAAAAAAUUGCUUAUUUGUGUUUUUUCUAAUAAUGUUUCCGGUUUUGCCCCUUUUCAGGCGGGAGGGAUUAAAGAUGGUGAAAUGAAGAGGACUUUUAAUACGGGAAUCGGGAUGGUUUUGGUUGUUAGCAAAGAGGCUGCUGAAAGGGUACUUAGGGAAGAAGAUAUUUGAAAGUAAAGGUGAGUUGAGGAUAUUUUGCAACAAAAAACGACAAGUCACAAUCCUCUCAAGAAUUCCACUUUGCAAUUGUACAAUGUAUAUUCAGGAAUCUGGCUGACUGGUUGGGAGUUGAGGAGAUUGGUCUGUUCAAUCUCAAACCAAGUGUACGGCCUAUGCCUCUUGAAGUUCAUACACAGGCAAGUCAAAUUUCAAACCAAGUGUACGACCUGUACAAUGUAUAUGUGAACAGAGUUGUGGAAGAUUUUGAUGAUUGGACUAAUUGGCUUAUGUAUAAAGGUGGAGUUGGAGUGAAAGGAGACAAUAGUUGGGAAUCCUGGUGGGAUGAAGAGCAGGCACAUAUCCAGACAAUCAGAGGGCGUGUACUUGAAACUAUAUUGUGCUUGAGGUUCUUCAUAUUUCAAUUCGGGAUAGUCUACAAGCUCCAUCUCACUGGAAAUAAUACAUCAUUAUUGGUACUUACUAUUUUUAUUUAUUUCACUUUUUUUUCUACGUGAAAUAGAAAAAUGUUGUUUUUCUAGUAGUGUCCUCUUGGUGAUCCAUCAAUGAAGUGGCCAACUUGCAUCAUGUAAUAACAUUUUAGGUGAAGAUGUAGGUAUAUGUUUUUUAAUGAAUAAUAUCAUAUGUAUGAAUAUGAAACAAAGUUUGUUAUUUAGUAUAUGAUAAUCAUGUAUAGGGAAAAGUUUUCUAUUGAUUUGUUUUAUCUUUCCAUGGAUCGAUUAUUUGUAUAACAUUAAAUUUUAUUCAAUGGAUUGUAUUUUUUGUAUAUGGUAUUUAAUUUUUUUGUUAUGAGACAUUAAAUGCAGAUUUAAUUUGAAAAUUAGUAAAUCUAUAAAUAAUAUAUUUUUUAAACAUUUAAAAUUACGAUACGCAAAAAUGUGUGUCAUCUUCAUUUAUGACAUGGCCUUUCUUGACAAGGGCAUCCUUGAUACGCAUUGCGUGUCAUAAACACGCGCGUUGUAAGGUUACGACACGCAAAUGCGUGACGUCUUCCUUUAUGACAGGGCCUUCCUUGAUACACAUUGCGGAUCAUAAAUGCGUGUCAUAAAUGUGUGUCGUAAAUGCGCGUCGCAAAUAGACGAUGCGCAAAAGC